CCUCGUUCACAAACCAUCACAUUUGAAUUUCCAGCCAAUCUAACCUUCUCAGCUGAGUUUAUCAUGACUGAAGGAGCACAGAACUGGCCUUUUUUAAUAUUGAUAAUUUUCCCAGUCUUGGCAGCUGCAACUAGAAGAUCUGUCUGACGACAUAAAAAUGCAGGAAUCUGUAUGAUAUCUGCUACUCUUCCAACAGGUUCACACUGAAUAGCUUCAUGCACAUCGGUAAUAAUAGGAAUUUGAUAUGCUAUUUUAACCUUCUCAAGAAUCUUCAAGCCUUCGUUCAUGCCUGGACCUCGGAAUGACUUUGAGGAUGUUCUGUUAGCUUUGUCAAAGCUUGACUUAAAAACCAAUGGCAA
This 359-nucleotide unclassified non-coding RNA is filed under the name Hevea brasiliensis (rubber tree). The record is from RNAcentral. Lineage: Eukaryota; Viridiplantae; Streptophyta; Magnoliopsida; Malpighiales; Euphorbiaceae.